This 429-nucleotide ribosomal RNA is filed under the name Gemmatimonadota bacterium. RNAcentral's name for it is "Gemmatimonadetes bacterium partial 16S ribosomal RNA". It matches the Rfam family "Bacterial small subunit ribosomal RNA", at positions 355 to 776 of the family's 1533-position model. The record is from RNAcentral. Lineage: Bacteria; Pseudomonadati; Gemmatimonadota.
UAGGGAAUCUUCGGCAAUGGACGAAAGUCUGACCGAGCAACGCCGCGUGAGUGAAGAAGGAUUUCGGAUCGUAAAACUCUGUUGUUAGAGAAGAACAAGGACGUUAGUAACUGAACGUCCCCUGACGGUAUCUAACCAGAAAGCCACGGCUAACUACGUGCCAGCAGCCGCGGUAAUACGUAGGUGGCAAGCGUUGUUCGGAUUUAUUGGGCGUAAAGCGAGCGCAGGCGGUUUCUUAAGUCUGAUGUGAAAGCCCCCGGCUCAACCGGGGAGGGUCAUUGUAAGCUGGGUGAGUUGAGUGAAUAAGGGGGGAGUGGAAUUCCAUGUGUAGCGGUGAAAUGCGUAGUUAUAUGGAGGAACACCAGUGGCGAAGGCGGCUCUCUGGUCUGUAACUGACGCUGAGGCUCGAAAGCGUGGGGAGCAAACAGG